AAGAUCAGGUACUUCUAUGUAGUGAACUAUGAUCACGUACUUCUAUGUAGUGAACUAUGAUCAGGUAUUUCUAUGUAGUGAACUAUGAUCAGGUACUUCUAUGUAGUGAACUAUGAUCACGUACUUCUAUGUAGUGAACUAUGAUCACGUACUUCUAUGUAGUGAACUAUGAUCAGGUAUUUCUAUGUAGUGAACAAUGAUCAGGUACUUCUAUGUAGUGAACUAUGAUCAGGUAUGUAGUGAACUAUGAUCAGGUACUUCUAUGUAGUGAACUAUGAUCAGGUACUUCUAUGUAGUGAACUAUGAUCAGGUACUUCUAUGUAGUGAACUAUGAUCAGGUACUUCCAUUGAUCUGCUGUAACAUUGUACAGUGAGGUUUAUGUCGCGAGUCCAUCAGUCUGCAAUGCAAAAUAUAAAUACAUGCCAUAUACUGUAUCAAGAACUUCUAGUUCAAGCACUUUAUAUUAUUUGUGUAUGAAAUACAUUUGCUUGUAAACAAAAUAUAUUCUGCAACAUUUGUUUUGUGAUAUCCAUUAUUUUUAUUUUAAACCAGUCACAAUUUGAUGCAACAUUGAGCAUGUAAAGUCUUUCCAUUUUGAUAGUUUGAUGUCAUUUUGUUUCUUGAGUAUUAAUUAACAAUAUUCUGUGAUUUUAUUGUGGUAUAUGAAGAUAUCAAGUACACUGUAAUGGCCUGUUUAAAUUACCUGUUGAUUUUUUUGUGUGUGGCUGAAUGUAGAUAAACAUUCUUUGACAUACGGUAUUUGUAACACCAAAAACCUGUGCUUUGUGCUGAAAAAUAGUGUCUCUAGACCAGUUAUCACAUUUCUAUCAUUUGUCCUUGAAAAUAUUGGUUGCUAUAUAGUUUGCAAGAUGAAAUUAUUUUAGUAUCAAUUGUCUAAAUUAUCAAGUUGAUAUAAUCUCGCAUCUCGCUGUUUUCAUCUCACUGCAGAAAGUAACGAAUUUCUAGUAUAGUUUUUGUUGAAGGGAUUCGCUUUCUUUGUGAUAAUAACAAAUCAUGACAUGUUUCUAUUGUGAUGAUUUAACCAAUAUGUUUUACAUACAAUAUACAGCAAAAUCAUUUUGUAUAACCUUCAAAUGUCUUUGGUGGGUCUUCAUAUUAGUGGCAGCUAAAUAUAAAUGGCAGAGAAACCUGGUUUGAUUUGAAAAGGAAAAUGCUUUGGAAUACAUGUUUUAUUUUUAUUCCAACUUCAAAGAACAUUUUCAUUUAAUUCUAUAUUGAAUUAUGUACAAGUGUUUACUUUACAAAUAAGAUAAAAUUUCUUAACAACUU
Pecten maximus is the source of this 1291-nucleotide long non-coding RNA. RefSeq lists it as uncharacterized. The record is from RefSeq and is a predicted model, not a curated record. Lineage: Eukaryota; Metazoa; Mollusca; Bivalvia; Pectinida; Pectinidae. The transcript is spliced from 2 exons.